Molecule: ribosomal RNA, 128 nt
Filed under: uncultured bacterium
Lineage: Bacteria
Description: partial 16S ribosomal RNA
Source: RNAcentral
UGAGUAACCUUGCCCUAAGGCUUUUGGGAUAACCCUCGGAAACGGGGGCUAAUACUGGAUAUUCCCGCGGGAUCGCAUGGUUUUUGUGGGGUAAANNGGUUUUCCGGUCGUUGGAGUGGCGUCGCGCU